GGACCAGCAACGGCGCCGCCGGGAACAACCGGAACGUCUCGUUUAUCACAUUGUGAAGGUAUGGAAGCUUCUGCAAGUCGGACUCGUGAACCAGGCGAUCCUUCCCGACCACUCUGUCAAUCUCUUCUCUCGCCUUCUCCAUCUUCUCUGGGUGGUUUAAGAGAGCCGACAUCGCCCAUUCCACUGUCACUGAUGACGUGUCCGUCCCAGCAAGCAGCAUCACCUAAUAAUAGGAUUAGGUUAUUUAAACGCUAGCAAAACUAUUAUUAUAUACAAUGCAUUAUUGUCAAGUCCUCUUUCAAUAAGAUACGACCAAACUAUAACUAACUAUUCUAUUAUUUUUACUAUUUUAGUCUACUUUUAAUUAUUUAUAAUGCCUUCUUUCUUUUCUACAUUUUUUCUUCCUUAUUUUCACUUUAAGGAGGAAUAAUAUUAUCCCUAUAUUUUUGAAAGGAUAAUAUUGUCCCUCGUUGAAGUGAAAAUAAUGAAAGAAAAAAUGAUGAAUUUUUGUUUCGUAUAAAAUGUGGGAAAAAAAUAAGACAUUUAAAAACAUAAAUUUUUGUUAUCCCUUCUUUUGUCAUGAUAAAUUUAUGUAUCAAAUAAAAAUAUAAAUUUUUGUUAUCUUUCAUUUUUCAUGAUAAUUGUAUCCAUCGAAGUAAACGCACCAUAUGUGAAAAAAAAGAAUAAUCAUAAAGAAAUCACGGUUACGUUUGAAAAUCAAUAUCGAGUAUGGAUUAAUUAAGAAAAGUACUAAUAACUUACUAGUAUGGUUGACUUGAUGACUGGAUCAGUGUAGUUUUGAGGCUCCGAUUCCUGCAAAGAGAGCAAGUGGUCUAUCAUGGUGUUUCCGCCAUUGUUGCGCCUGUGCUCCUCAAUCAAGCGCUGCAGAAAUCCAUCAAUUUUGGAGGCUAUCCUGCUGAGAUUCUUCUCGAAAUCCAUGUAAUC
RNAcentral lists this long non-coding RNA (945 nucleotides) under Salvia miltiorrhiza (redroot sage). Its description in RNAcentral is "long non-coding RNA (SMIL_LNC006854)". Lineage: Eukaryota; Viridiplantae; Streptophyta; Magnoliopsida; Lamiales; Lamiaceae. The record is from RNAcentral.